AGUGAACGCUGGCGGUAGGCCUAACACAUGCAAGUCGAACGGCAGCACAGUAAGAGCUUGCUCUUACGGGUGGCGAGUGGUGGACGGGUGAGGAAUACAUCGGAAUCUACUUUUUCGUGGGGGAUAACGUAGGGAAACUUACGCUAAUACCGCAUACGACCUACGGGUGAAAGCAGGGGAUCUUCGGACCUUGCGCGAUUGAAUGAGCCGAUGUCGGAUUAGCUAGUUGGCGGGGUAAAGGCCCACCAAGGCGACGAUCCGUAGCUGGUCUGAGAGGAUGAUCAGCCACACUGGAACUGAGACACGGUCCAGACUCCUACGGGAGGCAGCAGUGGGGAAUAUUGGACAAUGGGCGCAAGCCUGAUCCAGCAUACCGCGUGGGUGAAGAAGGCCUUCGGGUUGUAAAGCCCUUUUGUUGGGAAAGAAAAGCAGCAGGUUAAUACCCCGCUGUUCUGACGGUACCCAAAGAAUAAGCACCGGCUAACUUCGUG
This 491-nucleotide ribosomal RNA is filed under the name uncultured bacterium. Its description in RNAcentral is "partial 16S ribosomal RNA". It matches the Rfam family "Bacterial small subunit ribosomal RNA", at positions 29 to 507 of the family's 1533-position model. The record is from RNAcentral.